CCUACGGGUGGCUGCAGUGGGGAAUAUUGGACAAUGGGGGAAACCCUGAUCCAGCGACGCCGCGUGAGUGAAGAAGUAUUUCGGUAUGUAAAGCUCUAUCAGCAGGGAAGAAAAUGACGGUACCUGACUAAGAAGCCCCGGCUAACUACGUGCCAGCAGCCGCGGUAAUACGUAGGGGGCAAGCGUUAUCCGGAUUUACUGGGUGUAAAGGGAGCGCAGACGGCAAUGCAAGUCUGAAGUGAAAGGCGUGGGCUCAACCCAUGAAUUGCUUUGGAAACUGUUUGGCUUGAGUGUCGGAGGGGUAAGCGGAAUUCCUAGUGUAGCGGUGAAAUGCGUAGAUAUUAGGAGGAACACCGGAGGCGAAGGCGGCUUGCUGUAGCGUAACUGACGCUGAAGCUCGAA
Molecule: ribosomal RNA, 402 nt
Filed under: uncultured Prevotella sp.
Lineage: Bacteria; Pseudomonadati; Bacteroidota; Bacteroidia; Bacteroidales; Prevotellaceae
Description: bacterial SSU rRNA
Rfam family: Bacterial small subunit ribosomal RNA
Source: RNAcentral